AACCUAGCACACCUGCGGUGUGUACCUGCGGAGGGAUCAUUACCUAGAGUUGUAGGCUUUGCCUGCUAUCUCUUACCCAUGUCUUUUGAGUACCUUACGUUUCCACGGUGGGCUCGCCCACCGAUUGGACAAAUUUAAACCCUUUGCAGUUGAAAUCAGCGUCUGAAAAAACUUAAUAGUUACAACUUUUAACAACGGAUCU
Molecule: unclassified non-coding RNA, 202 nt
Filed under: soil metagenome
Description: partial contains 5.8S ribosomal RNA, internal transcribed spacer 2, and large subunit ribosomal RNA
Source: RNAcentral